RNAcentral lists this long non-coding RNA (446 nucleotides) under Triticum aestivum (bread wheat). Its description in RNAcentral is "long non-coding RNA (TAES_LNC023383)". The record is from RNAcentral. Lineage: Eukaryota; Viridiplantae; Streptophyta; Magnoliopsida; Poales; Poaceae.
AAUACUCCCACGCAGCAAACCUCCCGUAGCACCGAGCCGUCUUGCUCAUCGGUGCAGCGUCCAUCGCCCAAGUGUCGGCUCUUCAAGUCAGCGCAUCCCCCCGUUGCUAGUUUCCAUCGUGGUUUGACACGGGGAGUUCAUGACAUUUUGUUUAUUUACUUAUGUGGAUUAGGUAAACGCGAUUAGGACAAGUGGAUGAGUGAGCUGACUUGGAACUCGCCGGAUUAAAUUCAUUUACACCGAUUUUGUUUACAUUUUCUCUGCAAAGUCAGUAUGGAUUCAGAACCUACGUGCUGUGAAAAACAGUUACAAUAGGAGAUUCAGGCCAUGUUCUUCUGAUUAUGCACUGGACUAUAGCCAUUUUCCCACAGCGGCUCAUCCACUAUUGGAUAACCACCAUGUAGCUUGUUCACUUUAGGUGACCCUCUUGCUGAUUUCAAUAGUUC